GAUGAACGUUGGCGGUGUGCCUAAUACAUGCAAGUCGAACGGUGACGAUUUUGUAGUAAUACGAAUGAAAUCACAGUGGCGAACGGGUGAGUAACGCGUUGGUGAUCUGCCUCGAAGUGUGGAAUAACGCUCCGAAAGGAGCGCUAAUACCGCAUGUGCUCUCGAUGUUUAGAAAGUUGAGAGUAAAGGAUUUAUUCGCUUCGAGAGGAGCCUGCGUCCCAUCAGCUGGUUGGUAGGGUAACGGCCUACCAAGGCAAUGACGGGUAGGGGACCUGAGAGGGUGGCCCCCCACAAUGGAACUGAAACACGGUCCAUACACCUACGGGUGGCAGCAGUAGGGAAUAUUAGAAAUGGACGAAAGUCUGAUCUAGCGACACCGCGUGUGCGAAGAAGGCCUUCGGGUUGUAAAGCACUUUUUGGAAGGAAUAGGAAGGAAGGUACUUCCAGAAUAAGUCUCGGCUAACUACGUG
RNAcentral lists this ribosomal RNA (470 nucleotides) under uncultured bacterium. RNAcentral describes it as "bacterial SSU rRNA". It matches the Rfam family "Bacterial small subunit ribosomal RNA", at positions 28 to 507 of the family's 1533-position model. The record is from RNAcentral.